Molecule: ribosomal RNA, 460 nt
Filed under: uncultured bacterium
Lineage: Bacteria
Description: partial 16S ribosomal RNA
Rfam family: Bacterial small subunit ribosomal RNA
Source: RNAcentral
CCUACGGGAGGCUGCAGUGAGGAAUAUUGGUCAAUGGACGAGAGUCUGAACCAGCCAAGUAGCGUGAAGGAUGACUGUCCUAUGGGUUGUAAACCUCUUUUAUAAAGGAAUAAAACGAGGCAAGGGUGCCUUUUUGCAUGUACUUUCUGAAUAAGGAUCGGCUAAGUCCGUGCCAGCAGCCGCGGUAAGACGGAGGAUCCGAGCGGUAGCCGGAUUCAUUGGGGUUAAAGGGUGCGGAGGUUGUGGUAGAAGUUAGCGGUGAAAUACCGAUGCUCAACAUCGGGGCUGCCGCUGAUACUGUAGGACUAGAGAUCGGAUGCAGCAGGCGGAAUGUGUAGUGUAGCGGUGAAAUGCAUAGAUAUUACACGGAACACCGGUUGCGAAGGCAGCUUGCUAGGCCGGAUCUGACACUGAUGCACGAAAGCGUGGGGAUCGAACAGGAUUAGAUACCCCUGUAGUC